UACGAAGGGGACUAGCGUUGUUCGGAAUUACUGGGCGUAAAGCGCACGUAGGCGGAUUUGUAAGUCAGGGGUGAGAUCCCGGGGCUCAACCUCGGAACUGCCUUUGAUACUGCAAAUCUCGAGUCCGAUAGAGGUGGGUGGAAUUUCCGGUGUAGCGGUGAAAUGCGUAGAUAUCGGAAGGAACAUCAGUGGCGAAGGCGACUUCCUGGACCAAUACUGACGCUCAGGUGCGAAAGCGUGGGGAGCAAACAGG
Molecule: ribosomal RNA, 253 nt
Filed under: uncultured bacterium
Lineage: Bacteria
Description: partial 16S ribosomal RNA
Rfam family: Bacterial small subunit ribosomal RNA
Source: RNAcentral